CAGCCGCCGCGGGAAUACCGAGGGUGCGAGCGUUAAUCGGAUUUACUGGGCGUAAAGCGUGCGUAGGCGGCUUCUUAAGUCGGAUGUGAAAUCCCUGAGCUUAACUUAGGAAUUGCAUUCGAUACUGGGAAGCUAGAGUAUGGGAGAGGAUGGUAGAAUUCCAGGUGUAUCGGUGAAAUGCGUAGAGAUCUGGAGGAAUACCGAUGGCGAAGGCAGCCAUCUGGCCUAAUACUGACGCUUAGGUACGAAAGCAUGGGGAGCAAACAGGAUUAGAGACCCCUGUAGUCCCUGUCUCUUAUAC
RNAcentral lists this ribosomal RNA (301 nucleotides) under uncultured bacterium. Its description in RNAcentral is "partial 16S ribosomal RNA". It matches the Rfam family "Bacterial small subunit ribosomal RNA", at positions 509 to 807 of the family's 1533-position model. The record is from RNAcentral.